GUACUGCUGGAGAGUUCCAAACUAGGACGAAACAGCCGUCCAGUAC
Molecule: non-coding RNA, 46 nt
Organism: Trichobilharzia regenti
Lineage: Eukaryota; Metazoa; Platyhelminthes; Trematoda; Strigeidida; Schistosomatidae
Source: Rfam